GUCCCGUGCCGUGUGGUCGCGCGAUUGCCGUGCCGAUUGUACUGCCGUCGUGCGUGUUACCGGACUUCAAACGACCGCCACAAACAAGUCUAAGAUGCUACCCGUGAAGCCGGGGAGCCCCGCGCCGGACGGCAGCUCCAUGGACAAGAAGCCGAUCGCCGGCAUCCCGCGCGUGGCGCCCACCACCAAGUUUAACGCGCCUGUGCACAUCGACGUCGGCGGCACCAUCUACACCUCCUCGCUGGAAACCCUCACCGCUUACCCCGAAUCGCGUCUCGGAAAGAUGUUCAACGGAACCAUCCCCAUAGUCCUGGACACGUUGAAGCAGCACUACUUCAUCGACCGCGACGGCGGCAUGUUCCGGCACAUCCUCAACUUUCUGCGCAACAAGAAACUGUUGCUGCCCGAUGACUUCUCCAACUUGGAUUUGCUGCUACACGAAGCAUUGUACUUCGAGCUGGACCAUAUGGUGUUCGUCCUGACGAAGAUGAAGAAUAACAAAGAGGGCGUGAAGCAGGACCGCGUGUGGCUGAGCGAGGCCACCGAGCGACUCAAGCAGGAGUCGGAGCUGCUCACGCAGGAGCGCGAGCGCCUGCAGCAGCGGUGGUCGUGAACUGAGGUAACUGCCGCUGUUUCUUACAUAACAACAAAGAGGGCGUGAAGCAGGACCGCGUGUGGCUGAGCGAGGCCACCGAGCGGCUCAAGCGGGAGUCGGAGCUGCUCACGCAGGAGCGCGAGCGUCUGCAGCAGCGGUGGUCGUGAACUGAGGUAACUGCCGUUGUUUCUUACAUAACAACAAAGAGGGCAUGAAGCAGGACCGCGUGUGGCUGAGCGAGGCCACCGAGCGGCUCAAGCAGGAGUCGGACUUCUCAUGCAGGAUCGUGAACGCCGGCAGCAGCGGUGGUCGUGAACAGAGGUUAGCUGUACAGAUGCUGAAAUAAAACGGCGACGCACUACGUAAACGUUAUUUGUUUGAAAAGUCAUUGUUUUUAUUUCAAUUUUGAGUAGUUUAUGAAUGAGUUAACUAUAGUAUUUAAGCUAUUUUAAUUUAUCGUAGAAUCGGUUAUUAGUAGGUACUAUAAGGUACGAUCCGAGGCCAUCAACCCAAUUACCAAGGGUUUUCCUAUUUCAAAACAGUUACUAGUGUUUAAAGUUUAAGUGUGUUCUAAACAAGUACUAGUUUUUGAAAAGUGAGUACCUAUACUAUAGCUUAU
Cydia fagiglandana is the source of this 1214-nucleotide RNA transcript. It is a transcript of the gene named BTB/POZ domain-containing protein Tiwaz, with no coding region annotated. The record is from RefSeq and is a predicted model, not a curated record. NCBI's taxonomy places the organism in Eukaryota, Metazoa, Arthropoda, Insecta, Lepidoptera, Tortricidae. The transcript is spliced from 5 exons.